RNA transcript from Camellia sinensis, 1179 nucleotides. RefSeq lists it as uncharacterized. The record is from RefSeq and is a predicted model, not a curated record. Lineage: Eukaryota; Viridiplantae; Streptophyta; Magnoliopsida; Ericales; Theaceae.
GGAGGGAGGGAGAGUUGAUGUUGUGAAUUGAAGCUCUGUUCCAAUGGAGUCAACUUUAUAUGCAGCAACAAGAACAACGCUCUUCAUUUGUCGUCUACACCGUCCGAUUCAUUGCCAAUCCGUGUCUCUUCAACUCACACGACCUUUCAACGGCGAGUCUCAGAGAUCAAAAGCAUUGAGUUCGAUCUCUCAUUCCCCAAAUUCACUCCCGACUUUGUGUUCCGUUCGCUCUCGCUUGCACUGCGCUGCUUCUCCCUCUUCCACAGCCGGCGGCGGCGGCGCCGAUGGUGGAGCUCUGUCGCCUGAUGCGAUAAUUAUUAAUGUCGAAGGUAUGAUGUGUGGAGGAUGUGUAGCGAGCGUGAAGAGAAUUUUGGAAAGCCAACCACAAGUGUUGUCUGCCAGUGUCAAUCUUGAAACAGAAACAGCAACUAUAUGGCCUGUUUCUGAGGCCAAGGUUAUGCCGAACUGGCAAAGGCAUGUAGGAGAGAUCCUUGCGAAUCAUUUGACCAGUUGUGGAUUUAAGUCUAAUUUUCGAGCUUAAUCAGUACUGCAAUGUAAGAUCAAAGAUCAUGUCAAGCUUGAACCUGCAUCUCUUGCCAUAGAGGCAUUAGGUCAGGGAGCUAUUGAAGGAGACAUUCCAUUAUAGAAAAUCCAAAGGAUUUCUUGCAAGUGCAACCAGUCCUUUGAUGGUAUGUCUUAUAAAAUUGGGUUUUCUAUUUCAGAGACUUGUCCUUGCAUCAAUAGGUGAGAGUCUCUCUGACUACUAGUAGUGGAUUUGUUGGAGUGAGGCAUUUCUAUAUCCCGUUGAGCCCAUUUAUUUUUCGAUAAUUUCUGUUAGCAUGAUCUGAAUUCAAGCAAUUUGUGCCUUAUCAUUGGUCAAUUGGGGAUGUCCAUUCUUUGGAAAAUUUAAUAUGUCAGAUCUCGCGUGUAAUGACUGUAUCAGCUGAACAAUACUCGUGUUGUUUUUGUUUUUGUUUUUUUGGCUUUUCUCCCCCAUGUUUUGACUUUCCCCAAUUUAGUUUGUUCUCUUCUUUUGAAGAUUUGUACUUGCCCUAUUUCAGCAAAGCCAUGUUGGUUAUUGUGAUGACUUGUAUAACUGUAUCUAUAUAUCCAAAUUUUGUGUUUUGAUGUAAUCCUCCAAGUUGGGCAAGGUUGUUAUCUGCCUGUGUGCACUUCACA